CCAGGCCUUAUGACUUCAUGAUGGAAUCUUCUCUCAGCAGGCAGAGGGGGAUUUGCCAGGGUAAAAAGGAGGCUGGGAGGAAGAAGCCUGCCGAGGGAGGCUUUGUCUUUUCAGCCAGAGUUUGACAAUUAGGCUUCAUCAUGUCACGAUGCGGUGCUACUGCUGACCCCAAAACACAACGCCGGAAGUGGUGCUCACUAGAGACUAUGUGUCAGAAGAACAGUGAUGCUGAAUCCGGAGCCCCAACCUCUCCUAGCCUCCUGGAGGAGGAUGACCCAGGACCCUUGUCCUCCCAACAGCAGGCCACCAGUUCAAGGGACAAGAAGCCCCUAAGCUCCCUCCACCUUUCACAUAGGGCCCAGGUGGCCUUGGAGUACCUGCCUUUCUUCUGCACCUAUGGGUUCCUCCUGGAAGAGGAGGGGUUGGUCCUGCAGCCCGAGACACCGCUCCAGGAGGACUCAGAACUGCUCAGUGGGUUCUUCCCUUACUACCGCUCUGAGGAGGAGAGUUUGCCCAGCCUGGCCCUUCCUGGCUGGUCACACAGGGGCUCCCGGGAUCUGCCCACUGAGAAGGAGGCACAGGCUGGCUGCUUCUGCAGGACAACAGUCAGGGACGAAUGCUCUGUGAGUUGAGGAGGCCAUAGAGGGUGGGGGGAGCAGCACUAGGCCCCCGCAUCCUUCAAACCUCUCUGUCCCGGGGCCCAGACUCUAACAGGCCCCUGGACAGGCCCCUCUCAGGGCUGCUGCGGCCCUUGGAGCAAGGUGUCACUGGUUGGGAGCACAGACACUGCAGGAAGACUGUCCUGUUCAAGCCCAGCUUGACCACCUGCUAGGAGAGUGGCCUGGGGAAUGUGGUUUCCUUAUAAAAGAGAGAACAGCAGCAGCAACAAUAGAGCCAUUGUGAGAAUUACAUACAACCACAUAUCUAAAGUGCUCAGCGGGAUGGUGAGCUCACGGAGACAUUUAUUUGGUCCUUAUGACUUGCUAGGCUCUCAGACAAAUGUUUCAUUAGCAUCAUCUCAUUUAAUCCUAAUAGUAAUCCUAUAAAACAAGCCGUACUAUUAUUCCCAUUUUAUGAAUGAGAAAAUGAGUCUCAGAGAAGUUAAGUGACUUGGCCAAGGGCACAUAGCUAGCAAGUAGCAAACCUGGGAUUUGACCCGAAGCUUGUGGUCUAUAACAUUCCUAAUCACCAUCAUGCAGCUGGGCACUGUGGCCCAUGACUGCAGAGACAGAGGAGGCAAGGCGGGUAGGUUUUAAUCCCAGACACCCCACCCAGCAGGGUGCCCUUGGAUGGGUGAGUGACAUUGCUGAGUGCUUCCUGGGCUGUAGAGCAGACAUGGGCCUGUCCUCUUCUGGGACUGCCACUGUGGUGUUGCAGGCACAGGCUGGUCCCGGGUAUCUGGGCCUGAACCUGGGAGGUGGGCUUGCAUCGGGCUGACCCUCCUGUUCCUUCGUACCCAGGCUGCCUCGGCACACUCGGACCUCAUCUCUGGGUCCCCACACUCACUGGCCUGCUGCCCUGUCCUGCAGGUCUCGGCAGAGUUCCCCCGUGACAGUGACCGGGAUGCCCCUCUCUCCAGGGACCAUGGUCUUUAUGCCUCAGGAUUUGUGCAUUACUACAGAACCCCUGAGGAGGGGUUACACACUAGCCCUGGGCCUCCUGCCUUUCCAUCUGGGAGCCAGGGGCCCUCAGGGGCUGCCCAGGGCUGGUGCAGUCACACCACGGGGAAGCCAGAGCUGACUGCAGCAGAAACCACUGGAGAGCAGGCUCCCAGCACCCACUGACUGUCGAGGGAUGAAGCCUGACCCAAGCUCAGACAGAGGAAGCAGGAGCCACCUGAACAACUGAAGGGUGCAGACACCCAGAAGCUGGUUUUGUAAAUAAAUCGUGCACCUUGGAGCUGGUGCACUAAUUGGA
Gorilla gorilla gorilla (western lowland gorilla) is the source of this 1917-nucleotide RNA transcript. RefSeq lists it as uncharacterized. The transcript is spliced from 3 exons. The record is from RefSeq and is a predicted model, not a curated record. Lineage: Eukaryota; Metazoa; Chordata; Mammalia; Primates; Hominidae.